UCAAUAGCUUCGGCUAGCGAGGAGAGUCGAUGAUACUGUCGUGCCGAGAAAAGCCUCUAAACGAGAUUGUAUGUUGCCCGUACCGUAAACCGACACAGGUGGGUAGGUAGAGUAUACUAAGGGGCGCGAGAUAACUCUCUCUAAGGAACUCGGCAAAAUGACUCCGUAACUUCGGGAGAAGGAGUGCCUUAUUUAUAAGGUUGCAAUAACAAGAUCCAAGCAACUGUUUAUCAAAAACACAGGUCUCCGCUAAGUCGUAAGACGAUGUAUGGGGGCUGACGCCUGCCCAGUGCCAGAAGGUUAAAGAAGUUGGUUAGUGUAUGCGAAGCUGAUGACUGAAGCCCUGGUGAACGUCGGCCGUAACAAUAACGGUCCUAAGGUAGCGAAAUUCCUUGUCGGGUAAGUUCCGACCCGCACGAAAGGCGUAAUGAUUUGGAUACUGUCUCGGAGAGAGGCUCGGUGAAAUAGACUUGUCUGUGAAGAUGCGGACUACCUGCACCAGGACAGAAAGACCCUAUGAAGCUUUACUGUAACUUGAAAUUGGAAUUGGACUUUGCUUGCGCAGUAUAGGUGGGAAGCGUUGAAGAUAUUCUUGCGGGAGUAUUGGAGCUAUCAGUGAGAUACCACUCUUGUAAUGUUAGAUUUCUAACUUUGAACCAUAAUCUGGUCAAAGAACAGUUUCAGGUGGGCAGUUUGACUGGGGCGGUCGCCUCCCAAAUGGUAACGGAGGCGUACAAAGGUUUCCUCUGAACGGAUAGAAAUCGUAUCUAGAGUGUAAAGGCAUAAGGAAGCUUGACUGUGAGACCUACAAGUCGAGCAGGGACGAAAGUCGGUCUUAGUGAUCUGACGGUACUGAGUGGAAAGGCCGUCACUCAACGGAUAAAAGUUACUCUAGGAUAACAGGCUGAUCUCCCCCAAGAGUUCACAUCGACGGGGAGGUUUGGCACCUCGAUGUCGGCUCAUCGCAUCCUGGGGCGGUAGUACGUCCCAAGGAUUGGGCUGUUCGCCCAUGAAAGCGGUACGCGAGCUGGGUUCAGAACGUCGUGAGACAGUUCGGUCCAUAUCCGGUGUAGGCGUUAGAAUAUUGAGAGGAGCCUUCUUUAGUACGAGAGGACCGAGAAGGACACACCGCUGGUGUACCAGUUAUCGUGCCAACGGUAAACGCUGGGUAGCUAUGUGUGGAGUGGAUAACCGCUGAAAGCAUCUAAGUGGGAAGCCCACCUCAAGAUGAGUAUUCUCAUC
Molecule: ribosomal RNA, 1242 nt
Filed under: metagenome
Description: bacterial LSU rRNA
Rfam family: Bacterial large subunit ribosomal RNA
Source: RNAcentral